RNA transcript from Cynocephalus volans (Philippine flying lemur), 3034 nucleotides. It is a transcript of the gene named transmembrane channel like 6, with no coding region annotated. The record is from RefSeq and is a predicted model, not a curated record. The transcript is spliced from 20 exons. Lineage: Eukaryota; Metazoa; Chordata; Mammalia; Dermoptera; Cynocephalidae.
UGGGGGCGGGGCGCUGGGCGCCGGCUGCAGCCACGCGUGCCCAGAUGGGCCACAGGAGGCUUGGGAGGCGGCGUCUGAGCUCUGAGCUGCUCUAGGUUUGCAUACUGGCUGGGCGUGGGCUGCAGACAUGGCUCAGCCACUGGCCUUCGUUCUUGAUGUCCCUGAGACCCCAGGGGACCAGGGCAGCUGGGAGUCCAGCUCCCAGGAUGAUGAGAGCGAGGUGCACCGCUCCUUCUGCCAGCUCAUCCAGGAGCAGAGCCAGUGGGCAGCUGAGGAGGGGCUGGAGCUGCAGCAGAGGGAGCCAGCGCCUGGAGCUUGGGGGGCCCCAGAUGGUAGCCACCAGGCCCUCUUGGGGCCCGAGGUUGCUCCGGCCCACAGCACAGCCACGCUACGCAUCCUGGCCAGCAUGCCCAGUCGUACCAUUGGCCGCAGCCGGGGUGCCGUCAUCUCCCAGUACUACAACCGCACCGUGCGGCUGCGGCGCCGGAGCAGCCGGCCGCUGCUCGGGGAGGUGUCACGCUCAGCCAGGCCUAGCCUCCGCCUGUACGACCUGGAGCUGGACCCUGCAGCUGGCGAGGAAGAGGAGAAGCUGAACCUCCUGGUGAAGGAGCUUAAGGGCCUGUCAGUGGCCCAGCGGGACCACAUGCUCCGGGGGAUGCCCGUGAACCUGGCGGAGAAGCGUUGCCUACGGGACAAGAGCCAGACCCCAAGGGGGAAGCAGAGGGGCCAGCAGCACCGUGGUGGGGUGUGCUCCUGCUGCAGCAGGCUCGGAUACGCCUGCGUUCUGGCCUCGCACAGCCUGGGGCUCGCGCUGCUCUCGGGCCUGCACGCCCUGGCGCCGUGGCGCUUCGCGCUGAAGCAGAUCGGAGGCCAGUUCGGCUCCAGUGUGCUCUCCUACUUCCUCUUCCUCAAGACGCUGCUGGUCUUCAACGCGCUCCUGCUGCUGCUGCUCCUGGCCUUCAUCGUGGGCCCGCAGGCCGCCUUCCCGCAGGGCCCGGUCCCCACCGCCUUCACAGGGCUGGAGCUCCUCACAGGCGGGGGUGGCUUUGCCCACACCAUCAUGUACUAUGGCUACUACAGUAAUGCCACGCUGAACCAGCCGUGUGCCCCACUGCCCGAUGGCAGCCAGUGUACCCCCAGGGCGGGCAGCCUGCCCUACAACAUGCCCCUGGCCUACCUGUUCACUGUGGGGGCAGCUGCCUUCAUCACCUGCAUCACCCUGGUGUACAGCAUGUCCCACUCCUUCGGGGAGAGCUACCGGGUGGGCAGCACCUCUGGUGUCCAUGCCAUCACUGCCUUCUGCUCCUGGGACUACAAGGUGACUCAGAAAUGGGCCUCCCGCCUCCAGCAUGACAACAUCCGCACGCGGCUAAAGCAGGUGAUGGGGACAUGCUGCCUCCCGCAGGAGCUGCUGGCUGCGUGGCAGCUGCAGCAGGACCCCCGCAGCAUGUGCGGGCGGCUGCGGCAAGUGGCCAUGCUGGUGCUCGUGUGGCUGCUGUGUUUGGGGACCACGCUGGGCUGCGCCGUGGCCGUCCACGUCUUCUCGGAGGUCAUGCUUGAGAGCCCGGUGGCUGCUGGCCAGGAGGCUGCACUGCUGGCCCUGCCCCUGGUGGUCUGCCUCCUCCACCUGGCGGCCCCCUACCUGUACCGCGGUCUGGCAGCCCUGGAGCGGCACGGCUCCCCGGUGCUGGAGGUGUACAUGGCCAUCUUCAGGAACCUGGUCCUCAAGAUGGCCAUCCUGGGCGUUCUCUGCCACCACUGGCUGGGCCGCAGGGUGGCUGCCCUCAGGGACCAGUGCUGGGAGGACUUUGUGGGCCAGGAGCUGUACCGUUUCGUGGUGAUGGACUUCAUCUUCGCACUGCUGGACACACUUUUUGGGGAGCUUGUGUGGAGGUUCAUCUCUGAGAAGAAGCUUAAGAGGCAGCGGAAGCCUGAGUUUGACAUAGCCCGGAAUGUUCUGGACCUGAUUUAUGGGCAGACUCUGAUCUGGCUGGGGGUCCUCUUCUCGCCCCUCCUCCCUGCCAUACAGAUCAUCAAGCUGCUGCUCCUGUUUUAUGUCAAGAAGACCAGCCUGAUGGCCAACUGCCAGGCGCCCCGCAGGCCCUGGCUGGCGUCGCACAUGAGCACGCUCUUCCUCACGCUGCUCUGCUUUCCGUCCUUCCUGGGCGCCGCUGUCUUCCUGAGCUACGUCGUCUGGCAGGUGAAGCCCUCGAGCACCUGCGGCCCCUUCCGGACGCUGGACUCCAUGUAUGAGGCGGGCAGGCUGUGGGUGCGCCAGCUGGAGACGGCGGGGUCCAGUGUCUCCUGGCUGUCCUGGUUGUACCAGCACCUGGUGGAGGACACAGUCUUCAUCUUCCUGGUGUCAGCCCUGCUGCUGGCUGUCAUCUACCUCAACAUCCAGGUGGUGAAGGGUCAGCGGAAGGUCAUCUGCCUCCUCAAGGAGCAGAUCAGCAAUGGUGUGCGGCCCCCUGUGAGUACAGACGGUCUCUGAGGAUUUUUGCGAUACUGGAAGUGGCUUUCGGACUUCCACCGGCAGGAGGGACCCAUGUUGGAACACGGACCCUGCUCAGUGCUCUCAUUUUAUAAACAGGUGGAAUAAGGCAGGAUCGGAAACAUUUUUAUUGAGGAGAAGUAACAUUUGUCAUUAAGCACUUAUGGUUUGUCAUGAAAGAGUGAGCAGCAGAAGUGGGACUAGAAGCCCAGGGCACAGCCCCGCCAGGACCCUCCCCCUCUCCCCCGAGGGCACCUACUCCUUCACCAGGUGUCCCAUCAAGUUGGACACAAGGUACUUUCCUGUCUGGGGGACUCGGACUGGCCUCUUCCCCGAGAGCCGCCCUCUCUCGCCUCCUCACGGAGCGCACCGUUGUAGAGCAGGUCCUUGCCUUGCGCCUGGUGUCCUGCAGCGACGGCAGGCUGCUCACACAGAGCCGCCCAGGGACAGCGGCUCUUUGAAGGACGAGGAAGGGGAGGACAAAAUCUUCUUAAUUAACAAGCUUCACUCCGUCUACGAGAGGAAGGAGAGGAAGGAGGGGAG